ACGAACGCUGGCGGCAUGCCUAACACAUGCCAGUCGAACGAGACCUUCGGGUCUAGUGGCGCACGGGUGCGUAACGCGUGGGAACCUGCCCUUAGGUUCGGAAUAACUCCCCGAAAGGGGUGCUAAUACCGGAUAAUGUCUUCGGACCAAAGAUUUAUCGCCUUUGGAUGGGCCCGCGUUGGAUUAGCUAGUUGGUAGGGUAAAAGCCUACCAAGGCGACGAUCCAUAGCUGGUCUGAGAGGAUGAUCAGCCACACUGGGACUGAGACACGGCCCAGACUCCUACGGGAGGCAGCAGUGGGGAAUAUUGGACAAUGGGCGAAAGCCUGAUCCAGCAAUGCCGCGUGAGUGAUGAAGGCCUUAGGGUUGUAAAGCUCCUUUACCCGGGAUGAUAAUGACAGUACCGGGAGAAUAAGCUCCGGCUAACUCCGUG
This 432-nucleotide ribosomal RNA is filed under the name uncultured bacterium. RNAcentral describes it as "partial 16S ribosomal RNA". It matches the Rfam family "Bacterial small subunit ribosomal RNA", at positions 29 to 507 of the family's 1533-position model. The record is from RNAcentral.